Molecule: ribosomal RNA, 435 nt
Filed under: uncultured bacterium
Lineage: Bacteria
Description: bacterial SSU rRNA
Rfam family: Bacterial small subunit ribosomal RNA
Source: RNAcentral
UACGGAAGGCAGCAGUGGGGAAUAUUGCACAAUGGGCGCAAGCCUGAUGCAGCCAUGCCGCGUGUAUGAAGAAGGCCUUCGGGUUGUAAAGUACUUUCAGUCGUGAGGAAGGUGUUAAGGUUAAUAACCUUAGCAAUUGACGUUAGCGACAGAAGAAGCACCGGCUAACUCCGUGCCAGCAGCCGCGGUAAUACGGAGGGUGCGAGCGUUAAUCGGAAUUACUGGGCGUAAAGGGCACGCAGGCGGUUAAUUAAGUUGGAUGUGAAAUCCCCGGGCUUAACCUGGGAAUGGCAUUCAAGACUGGUUAGCUAGAGUCUUGUAGAGGGGGUUAGAAUUCCAUGUGUAGCGGUGAAAUGCGUAGAGAUGUGGAGGAAUACCGGUGGCGAAGGCGGCCCCUGGACAAGACUGACGCUCAUGUGCGAAAGCGUGGGGAGC